CCUACGGGAGGCAGCAGUGAGGAAUAUUGGUCAAUGGACGCAAGUCUGAACCAGCCAAGUAGCGUGCAGUCUUCCUUCCCUCCUUUUUUUCCCCUGCUUUUAGUUGGGAAUAAAAGGGGGCUCGUGAGCCCCGUAUUGUAUGUACCAUCAGAAAAAGGACCGGCUAAUUCCGUGCCAGCAGCCGCGGUAAUACGGAAGGUCCGGGCGUUAUCCGGAUUUAUUGGGUUUAAAGGGAGCGUAGGCCGGCUUUUAAGUCAGCUGUGAAAGUCCGCGGCUCAACCGUGGAAUUGCAGUUGAAACUGGAGGCCUUGAGUGCACACAGGGAUGCCGGAAUUCAUGGUGUAGCGGUGAAAUGCUUAGAUAUCAUGAAGAACUCCGAUCGCGAAGGCAAGUGUCCGGGGUGCAACUGACGCUGAGGCUCGAAAGUGCGGGUAUCAAACAGGAUUAGAUACCCUGGUAGUC
Molecule: ribosomal RNA, 462 nt
Filed under: uncultured bacterium
Lineage: Bacteria
Description: partial 16S ribosomal RNA
Rfam family: Bacterial small subunit ribosomal RNA
Source: RNAcentral